This 253-nucleotide ribosomal RNA is filed under the name uncultured bacterium. RNAcentral describes it as "partial 16S ribosomal RNA". It matches the Rfam family "Bacterial small subunit ribosomal RNA", at positions 524 to 776 of the family's 1533-position model. The record is from RNAcentral.
UACGUAGGGUGCAAGCGUUAAUCGGAAUUACUGGGCGUAAAGCGUGCGUAGGUGGUUUGUUAAGUCUGUUGUGAAAGCCCCGGGCUCAACCUGGGAAUGGCAAUGGAUACUGGCAGGCUAGAGUGCGGUAGAGGGUAGUGGAAUUUCCGGUGGAGCGGUGAAAUGCGUAGAGAUCGGAAAGAACACCAACGGCGAAAGCACUCUGCUGGGCCGACACUGACACUGAGAGACGAAAGCUAGGGGAGCGAAUGGG